CAUCUUUCUUAUUCGCGCAUGCUCCCCUAUAUUGAUCAUGCCGUCCUCGUGGCGGCUAUGGCGAUAAACGGCGUCGAAAUGAAGCUUUUCGGACCCGGGGGCGGUACCCGGCGCCUCCACCAAAGCAUCUUCCUAGGUAACGGUACCUAAGAUAGAUGCUUUGGCGGGGGCGAAAUAGGUUCGACGGGAAGUGUAAAGGACUGUCUUUCGCUCGGCAUUGUACCACCGUUACCGGGCUAACUUUAUAGUUGCCAAUGACAACUAUGCUCCGGUGGCCGUUGCCGCGUAAUGCGGUAAUAGUACCGAAAUCAAGUCCUUGGGGGUAGCACUUCAAGGCGGGGUUCGGAGGCACCUGGCAACAGAAGCCUCCACU
Molecule: transfer-messenger RNA, 373 nt
Filed under: Beijerinckiaceae bacterium
Lineage: Bacteria; Pseudomonadati; Pseudomonadota; Alphaproteobacteria; Hyphomicrobiales; Beijerinckiaceae
Rfam family: Alphaproteobacteria transfer-messenger RNA
About the family: Bacterial tmRNA, also known as 10Sa RNA or SsrA, is named for its dual tRNA and mRNA-like properties. Its role is to liberate the mRNA from a stalled ribosome.
Source: RNAcentral